This 464-nucleotide ribosomal RNA is filed under the name uncultured bacterium. RNAcentral's name for it is "partial 16S ribosomal RNA". It matches the Rfam family "Bacterial small subunit ribosomal RNA", at positions 28 to 503 of the family's 1533-position model. The record is from RNAcentral.
GACGAACGCUGGCGGCGUGCUUAACACAUGCAAGUCGAACGGAAAGGCCCUGCUUUUGUGGGGUGCUCGAGUGGCGAACGGGUGAGUAACACGUGAGUAACCUGCCCUUGACUUUGGGAUAACUUCAGGAAACUGGGGCUAAUACCGGAUAGGAGCUCCUGCUGCAUGGUGGGGGUUGGAAAGUUUCGGCGGUUGGGGAUGGACUCGCGGCUUAUCAGCUUGUUGGUGGGGUAGUGGCUUACCAAGGCUUUGACGGGUAGCCGGCCUGAGAGGGUGACCGGCCACAUUGGGACUGAGAUACGGCCCAGACUCCUACGGGAGGCAGCAGUGGGGAAUAUUGCACAAUGGGCGGAAGCCUGAUGCAGCAACGCCGCGUGCGGGAGGACGGCCUUCGGGUUGUAAACCGCUUUCGCCUGUGACGAAGCGUGAGUGACGGUAAUGGGUAAAGAAGCACCGGCUAACUA